Molecule: long non-coding RNA, 236 nt
Organism: Pezoporus flaviventris
Lineage: Eukaryota; Metazoa; Chordata; Aves; Psittaciformes; Psittacidae
Exons: 2
Source: RefSeq, a predicted model, not a curated record
GAGGUGUCCCUGCCCAUGGCAGGGGGGUUGGAACUAGAUGAUCUUAAGGACCUUUCCAACCCUAAUGAUUCUAUGAUUCUAUGAUUCUUACCCUCUCCUGAGGUAGUCUAUGCCAAGGAUGCAUGGAGCCUCUGGACCAGUCACAAUGGGGUGCUUUUGCCAUUCCCUCCCAGUCAGGCUGAUUUCAGCCUCCAGUACAGUCGACUCCUGGGAUCCUCCUGUCACUCCAGAAAUAG